Molecule: transfer RNA, 71 nt
Filed under: Camelus bactrianus (Bactrian camel)
Lineage: Eukaryota; Metazoa; Chordata; Mammalia; Artiodactyla; Camelidae
Also listed under: 1 other name
Rfam family: tRNA
About the family: Transfer RNA (tRNA) molecules are approximately 80 nucleotides in length. Their secondary structure includes four short double-helical elements and three loops (D, anti-codon, and T loops).
Source: Rfam by way of RNAcentral
GAGGGUGUAGCUCAGUGGUGGAGUGCGUGCUUAGCAUGCACAGGUCCUGAGUUCCAUCCCCAGUACCACCG